RNAcentral lists this ribosomal RNA (292 nucleotides) under uncultured bacterium. RNAcentral describes it as "partial 16S ribosomal RNA". It matches the Rfam family "Bacterial small subunit ribosomal RNA", at positions 505 to 796 of the family's 1533-position model. The record is from RNAcentral.
GUGUCAGCAGCCGCGGUAAUACAGAGGUCUCAAGCGUUGUUCGGAUUCAUUGGGCGUAAAGGGUGCGUAGGCGGCGAGGCAAGUCUGGUGUGAAAUCCCGGGGCUCAACCCCGGAACUGCACUGGAUACUGCUUUGCUAGAGUACUGGAGAGGGAACUGGAAUUUACGGUGUAGCAGUGAAAUGCGUAGAUAUCGUAAGGAAGACCAGCGGCGAAGGCGAGUUCCUGGACAGUUACUGACGCUGAGGCACGAAGGCCAGGGGAGCAAACGGGAUUAGAUACCCGAGUAGUCC